Molecule: ribosomal RNA, 497 nt
Filed under: uncultured bacterium
Lineage: Bacteria
Description: partial 16S ribosomal RNA
Rfam family: Bacterial small subunit ribosomal RNA
Source: RNAcentral
GAUGAACGCUGGCGGCGUGCCUAAUACAUGCAAGUCGAGCGAACAGACGAGGAGCUUGCUCCUCUGACGUUAGCGGCGGACGGGUGAGUAACACGUGGAUAACCUACCUAUAAGACUGGGAUAACUUCGGGAAACCGGAGCUAAUACCGGAUAAUAUAUUGAACCGCAUGGUUCAAUAGUGAAAGACGGUUUUGCUGUCACUUAUAGAUGGAUCCGCGCCGCAUUAGCUAGUUGGUAAGGUAACGGCUUACCAAGGCAACGAUGCGUAGCCGACCUGAGAGGGUGAUAGGCCACACUGGAACUGAGACACGGUCAAGACUCCUACGGGAGGCAGCAGUAGGGAAUCUUCCGCAAUGGGCGAAAGCCUGACGGAGCAACGCCGCGUGAGUGAUGAAGGUCUUCGGAUCGUAAAACUCUGUUAUUAGGGAAGAACAAAUGUGUAAGUAACUAUGCACGUCUUGACGGUACCUAAUCAGAAAGCCACGGCUAACUACGUG